UGUAAGCGUAUACCAAAGUUGUUGCAGUUAAAACGCUCGUAGUCGGAAUUUGGCAGUUCCGGAAGUGUGCACGUCGUGUGCGCACUUUGCGGGGACUGCUUUUGUGGUCUUGCGUAGGAUGAGGCACUUUCAUUAGUGAACGUCCUCACGCAACCACUCUUUACUGUGAGAAAAUCAGAGUGCUCAAGCAGGCAUUUGCCGUGAAUGUAUUAGCAUGGAAUAAUAGAAUAGGACUCGGUUCUAUUUUGUUGGUUUGUUGGGACUGAGUAAUGAUUAAGAGGGACAGUUGGGGGCAUUUGUAUUCCGGCGCUAGAGGUGAAAUUCUUAGAUUGCCGGAAGACAAACUGCUGCGAAAGCGUCUGCCAAGGAUGUUUUCAUUGA
Molecule: ribosomal RNA, 381 nt
Filed under: uncultured eukaryote
Lineage: Eukaryota
Description: partial 18S ribosomal RNA
Rfam family: Eukaryotic small subunit ribosomal RNA
Source: RNAcentral